GACGAACGCUGGCGGCGUGCCUAAUACAUGCAAGUUGAGCGCUGAAGGUUGGUACUUGUACCAACUGGAUGAGCAGCGAACGGGUGAGUAACGCGUGGGGAAUCUGCCUUUGAGCGGGGGACAACAUUUGGAAACGAAUGCUAAUACCGCAUAAAAACUUUAAACACAAGUUUUAAGUUUGAAAGAUGCAAUUGCAUCACUCAAAGAUGAUCCCGCGUUGUAUUAGCUAGUUGGUGAGGUAAAGGCUCACCAAGGCGAUGAUACAUAGCCGACCUGAGAGGGUGAUCGGCCACAUUGGGACUGAGACACGGCCCAAACUCCUACGGGAGGCAGCAGUAGGGAAUCUUCGGCAAUGGACGAAAGUCUGACCGAGCAACGCCGCGUGAGUGAAGAAGGUUUUCGGAUCGUAAAACUCUGUUGGUAGAGAAGAACGUUGGUGAGAGUGGAAAGCUCAUCAACUGACGGUAACUACCCAGAAAGGGACGGCUAACUACGUG
This 497-nucleotide ribosomal RNA is filed under the name uncultured bacterium. RNAcentral's name for it is "partial 16S ribosomal RNA". It matches the Rfam family "Bacterial small subunit ribosomal RNA", at positions 28 to 507 of the family's 1533-position model. The record is from RNAcentral.